RNAcentral lists this ribosomal RNA (468 nucleotides) under uncultured bacterium. RNAcentral's name for it is "partial 16S ribosomal RNA". It matches the Rfam family "Bacterial small subunit ribosomal RNA", at positions 28 to 507 of the family's 1533-position model. The record is from RNAcentral.
GACGAACGCUGGCGGCGUGCUUAACACAUGCAAGUCGAACGGCAAGGCCCUGCUUUUGUGGUGUUCUCGAGUGGCGAACGGGUGAGUAACACGUGAGUAACCUUCCCUUGACUUUGGGAUAACUUCAGGAAACUGGGGCUAAUACCGGAUAGGAGCUCCUGCUGCAUGGUGGGGGUUGGAAAGUUUCGGCGGUUGGGGAUGGACUGGCGGCUUAUCAGCUUGCUGGUGGGGUAGUGGCUUACCAAGGCUUUGACGGAUAUCCGACAUGAGAGGGUGACCAGGCACAAUAGGACUGAGGGAGGGACCAGAGGGCUACGGGAGACAACGGGGGGAAGUAUGACACAGUGAGGCCGAGCGUGAGAAAAAGGCGUUGCGGGCGGAAAGACGGCCUGCGGGGAAAGAAACGCUUUCGCCUGUGACGAAGCGUGAGUGACGGUACUGGAUGAAGAAGCACCGGCUAACUACGUG